UAUCAACGGCACCACGAGGGCCCAACUGUCUCCUCUCUCCAAUCAAUGAAACUGAUCUCUCCGUGAAGAAGCGGAGAUUUAACUAUAAGACGAGAAGACCCCAUGGAGCUUUAAACCUGACUACACCCUUAUCUAUUAUACCCCCUUAAUCAACAGGACCCUGUCUGUCAGUUUUAGGUUGGGGUGACCACGGAGCACAAAUAAACCUCCAUGAUGAACUGGACUAACCCAUUAUCUAAGAAAAACACCUCAAAGAAUUAGCACACUAACAUAAAAUGAUCCGACACUCGAUCAACGAACCAAGUUACCCUGGGGAUAACAGCGCAAUCUACUUCAAGAGCCCAUAUCGACAAGUGGGUUUACGACCUCGAUGUUGGAUCAGGGUAUCCUAGUGGUGCAGCAGCUACUAAAGGUUCGUUUGUUCAACGAUUAAAACCCU
Molecule: ribosomal RNA, 439 nt
Filed under: Spinomantis aglavei
Lineage: Eukaryota; Metazoa; Chordata; Amphibia; Anura; Mantellidae
Description: partial 16S ribosomal RNA
Rfam family: Bacterial large subunit ribosomal RNA
Source: RNAcentral